GAUGAACGCUGGCGGCGUGCCUAAUACAUGCAAGUCGAGCGAACGGACGAGAAGCUUGCUUCUCUGAUGUUAGCGGCGGACGGGUGAGUAACACGUGGAUAACCUACCUAUAAGACUGGGAUAACUUCGGGAAACCGGAGCUAAUACCGGAUAAUAUUUUGAACCGCAUGGUUCAAAAGUGAAAGACGGUCUUGCUGUCACUUAUAGAUGGAUCCGCGCUGCAUUAGCUAGUUGGUAAGGUAACGGCUUACCGAGGCAACGAUGCAUAGACGACCUGAGAGGGUGAUCGACCACAUCAGAACUGUGACACGGUCCAGGCUCCGACGAGAGGCAGCAGCCGGGAAGCUUCCGCAAUGGGCGAAAGCCUUACGGAGCAACACCGCGAGAGUGAUGAAGGUCUUCGGAUCGUAAAACUCUGUUAUUAGGGAAGAACAGAUUUGUAAGUAACAGUGCACAUCUUGACGGUACCUAAUCAGAAAGCCACGGCUAACUACGUG
Molecule: ribosomal RNA, 497 nt
Filed under: uncultured bacterium
Lineage: Bacteria
Description: partial 16S ribosomal RNA
Rfam family: Bacterial small subunit ribosomal RNA
Source: RNAcentral